RNAcentral lists this ribosomal RNA (1212 nucleotides) under uncultured bacterium. RNAcentral's name for it is "bacterial SSU rRNA". It matches the Rfam family "Bacterial small subunit ribosomal RNA", at positions 186 to 1401 of the family's 1533-position model. The record is from RNAcentral.
CCGCAUGGAGUGUUGGUGGAAAGCGUUAUGUAGUGGUUAUAGAUGGGCUCACGGCCUAUCAGCUUGUUGGUGAGGUAACGGCUCACCAAGGCGACGACGGGUAGCCGGCCUGAGAGGGUGACCGGCCACACUGGGACUGAGACACGGCCCAGACUCCUACGGGAGGCAGCAGUGGGGAAUAUUGCACAAUGGGCGCAAGCCUGAUGCAGCGACGCCGCGUGAGGGAUGACGGCCUUCGGGUUGUAAACCUCUGUUAGCAGGGAAGAAGAGAAAUUGACGGUACCUGCAGAGAAAGCGCCGGCUAACUACGUGCCAGCAGCCGCGGUAAUACGUAGGGCGCGAGCGUUGUCCGGAAUUAUUGGGCGUAAAGAGCUUGUAGGCGGUUUGUCGCGUCUGCUGUGAAAGGCCGGGGCUUAACCCCGUGUAUUGCAGUGGGUACGGGCAGACUAGAGUGCAGUAGGGGAGACUGGAACUCCUGGUGUAGCGGUGGAAUGCGCAGAUAUCAGGAAGAACACCGAUGGCGAAGGCAGGUCUCUGGGCUGUAACUGACGCUGAGAAGCGAAAGCAUGGGGAGCGAACGGGAUUAGAUACCCUGGUAGUCCAUGCCGUAAACGUGCCCAAAAGGGGUGGGGGACCAUUCCCCCGUGUUCCGCUCCGUUAGCUAACGCAUUAAGUGCCCCUCCUGGGGAAGUACGGCCGCAAGGCUAAAACUCAAAGAAAUUGACGGGGGCCCGCACAAGCGGCGGAGCAUGCGGAUUAAUUCGAUGCAACGCGAAGAACCUUACCAAGGCUUGACAUAUACUGGACCGCAUCAGAGAUGGUGUUUCCCUUCGGGGCUGGUAUACAGGUGGUGCAUGGUUGUCGUCAGCUCGUGUCGUGAGAUGUUGGGUUAAGUCCCGCAACGAGCGCAACCCUCGUUCUAUGUUGCCAGCACGUUAUGGUGGGGACUCAUAGGAGACUGCCGGGGUCAACUCGGAGGAAGGUGGGGAUGACGUCAAAUCAUCAUGCCCCUUAUGUCUUGGGCUUCACGCAUGCUACAAUGGCCGGUACAGAGGGUUGCGAUACUGUGAGGUGGAGCUAAUCCCUAAAAGCCGGUCUCAGUUCGGAUUGGGGUCUGCAACUCGACCCCAUGAAGUCGGAGUCGCUAGUAAUCGCAGAUCAGCAACGCUGCGGUGAAUACGUUCCCGGGCCUUGCACUCACCGCCCGUCAAG